Long non-coding RNA from Lagopus muta (rock ptarmigan), 687 nucleotides. RefSeq lists it as uncharacterized. The transcript has 3 exons. Lineage: Eukaryota; Metazoa; Chordata; Aves; Galliformes; Phasianidae. The record is from RefSeq and is a predicted model, not a curated record.
AGAGCUGACUAGCAGUGGGGAAGGAUCUCUUUUUGGACAUCCCUCCUUUUGGAGUUUUCCAGCAAGCCCAGGACAAGGCUUUCCUGUGGGCCUCCUUCAACUAUUGGAAGGUUUCUCUAAGGAACUCCCGGAACCUCUUCUUCUACAGGCUGAAAAGCCCCAGCUCUCUCAGCCUGUCCUCAUAGGGAGACAGAAGUCCAGGCCACAGAAAGGAUAGAAGCCUCAGCUUUCAUCUACCUGGAUAACAUAUGUUGCCAUUGAACUCAGGGUGACUAUUGCUACCUUUUCUCUCAUCAAUUGCCAGAGUGUAGGGAGUAGCGAUGUGUUAAAAAAAAGACUACUGGAGAGAUCUUGAUUAUUCUUUACCCUUCAGUGGGAUCUACUUGUAGGAGGAGGUAUGGAUAUUUGCAUAUGCUCAGAAAUUUGAAAAGCUUUUGGAUUUCUUUUAUUGAGAGUCCACACAACAAUUAAAAUAUGAAAAUAGGAAGUGUUCCUGUGCUUUCUCCAAUUUGUACCCAUGCACAAGAAUUAACAAGACACUUUCCAAUCUUGACCUGUGAUGAGCUGACAAAAUUUGGCUGACUUCAUUAGGAGCUGCUUAUCCAGCAGGAAAAACUGUUCUCAACCUGUGCAACACCAGGCAAGUAAAAGUUAUCCAGAACUUUCCAAUGUUGUUGGUAACUUCUG